AUUGAACGCUGGCGGCAGGCCUAACACAUGCAAGUCGAGCGGAUGACGGGAGCUUGCUCCUUGAUUCAGCGGCGGACGGGUGAGUAAUGCCUAGGAAUCUGCCUGGUAGUGGGGGACAACGUUUCGAAAGGAACGCUAAUACCGCAUACGUCCUACGGGAGAAAGCAGGGGACCGUCGGGCCUUGCGCUAUCAGAUGAGCCUAGGUCGGAUUAGUUAGUUGGUGGGGUAAUGGCUCACCAAGGCGACGAUCCGUAACUGGUCUGAGAGGAUGAUCAGUCACACUGGAACUGAGACACGGUCCAGACUCCUACGGGAGGCAGCAGUGGGGAAUAUUGGACAAUGGGCGAAAGCCUGAUCCAGCCAUGCCGCGUGUGUGAAGAAGGUCUUCGGAUUGUAAAGCACUUUAAGUUGGGAGGAAGGGCAGUAAGUUAAUACCUUGCUGUUUUGACGUUACCGACAGAAUAAGCACCGGCUAACUCUGUGCCAGCCGCCGCUGUAA
This 500-nucleotide ribosomal RNA is filed under the name uncultured bacterium. RNAcentral describes it as "partial 16S ribosomal RNA". It matches the Rfam family "Bacterial small subunit ribosomal RNA", at positions 30 to 523 of the family's 1533-position model. The record is from RNAcentral.